Molecule: non-coding RNA, 99 nt
Organism: Callorhinus ursinus (northern fur seal)
Lineage: Eukaryota; Metazoa; Chordata; Mammalia; Carnivora; Otariidae
Source: RefSeq, a predicted model, not a curated record
CCAUUCAUCCAUCAGUGAACUUUUGGGUUAUUUCUACCCUUUGGCUAUUGGGAAUAUGCUGCUGUUAACAUGGGUUAUGGAUCUCGUAUGAACUGUCUA